This 124-nucleotide small RNA is filed under the name Marmota monax (woodchuck). The record is from RNAcentral. Lineage: Eukaryota; Metazoa; Chordata; Mammalia; Rodentia; Sciuridae.
GUCGGGCGCCAUGGUGUACACCUGUAAUCCCAGCAGCUGGGAGGCUGAGACAGGAGGAUCACAAGUUCAAAGCCAGCCUAAGCAACGGUGAGGCACUAAGCAACUCAGUGAGACUCUGUCUCUA